CCCCUACGUUUAGUUGCUAACGCGUGAAGGCGAGCACUCUAGACGAAUGCCGUUGAACAAAACGGAGGAAGGGUGGGAUGACGUCAAAUCAUCAUGCCCCUUAUGUUCUGGGCUACACACGUGCUACAAUGGCCGGUACAGACGGACGCAAAGCCGCGAGGUGGAGCAAAUCCUAAAAAGCCGGUCUCAGUUCGGAUUGCAGGCUGCAAUUCGCCUGCAUGAAGUCGGAAUCGCUAGUAAUCGCAGGUCAGCAUACUGCGGUGAAUACGUUCCCGGGCCUU
RNAcentral lists this ribosomal RNA (281 nucleotides) under uncultured Bacillus sp. Its description in RNAcentral is "partial 16S ribosomal RNA". It matches the Rfam family "Bacterial small subunit ribosomal RNA", at positions 1102 to 1382 of the family's 1533-position model. The record is from RNAcentral. Lineage: Bacteria; Bacillati; Bacillota; Bacilli; Caryophanales; Bacillaceae.